Non-coding RNA from Paramuricea clavata, 10308 nucleotides. The record is from the annotation of a GenBank genome assembly. NCBI's taxonomy places the organism in Eukaryota, Metazoa, Cnidaria, Anthozoa, Malacalcyonacea, Plexauridae.
UUAUGCAAAAAAUAACUGACAAAACACAUUUCCUUGUCAGAUGUGCAAUCAUUUUGCAAGACACUUUCAACGAGAGCAACUUGAAGAAAACUAAACUCAGAGAAAAUUUAUUUGGUAAGGUUGUACUGACAAAUGUAAACUAACUGGUGCAUGCAGUAUACUGUUUGAUUCCUACAUAGAUAUAUUUGAUUCCUUUCAACAGCGCUAGCUUAAGCUUGAUUCUGUUUCAUAUAUAAGCGCGCGGUUUAAAAACCGAUAGAAACUAUAAUAACAUAAUUGAUUCAGUUAUACAGUAUAUACUCAACUGCAUGGUGGGUCACAGACACAGGGUCAGCGUGCUCUUUUCAAUCUUAAGCUUGAAUAAAAGCAAGGAAUUUCUGCAACAACAAAAAAUCUUUUCAAAAGGAAAAUAAAGGGACUAAUGGGGCGAGCCAACAUGUCAUUAUUUACAUUUCAGUCAUUUCCUCAGAAAACAUGAUAACUAUAUAAAUGUACUGUAUAGGGGUAAUUAAUCUAUGAACAAGUAAAGCCAUCUUAAAAUCUAAACUAUUGGAUAAUAAGAGUUUUACAAUGCAGGACUCAAAUGACUCAGCUGACAAAUCUGAGAAUAUUGGAUUGCCUCAAAAAAAAUUUACCAAGUUACUUUGAAUAGUGGUUGCAAGGCUUUUUUUUAUUAAGGAAAUAUAACUUGCAAGUGAUGAUCGAACCAGGCGGGAAUCGUAAUCGUAGUAUAGAGAUUAAUGCCCAGCAUAACGUACGCAAAAGAGCCAUAUAGACAAUAAUAUAAUAUAAAAAUUUAUUUAAGAAGUACUAACGUUUCGCCUUUAACCUAAGACAUCUUCAGAGUAAAUGAAUAUAAUAUGACAAUGAGUUACAAAUAUGAAUAAAUUACUAUUUACAAUAUCAAAUUACAGGGUAAUAGGAAUGCGGACGAUGGGGGUGGAGUUAAAGGAAAGAAAUCUGAGGAGUGAGAGAGGAAUGGAGCUACCUUGCUGAUUCAAAGUAGGUUUGAGCUUUGAGAUGAGAAGACGUUCACGGACGAGAAGUUCAUGUGGAGAGGAACAGGAUGAUAGGAUCUUAAAAUCAUCAAGAGAAGCAGUAUGACCUGAGUGGCUCAGAUGGGAAUGUAACUUCUCCGACAUCAAAAGGCCGGCAAGGAUGAUGAAGCAAUUUUGAUCGACGGUGUAGGUUUCAAACUUGACUUAAAAAUCGUGCACCUGGGCUUGUAUUCUAUCACUGCGCAGGACUAGUAAAGUUAACGAGCGACAUGAAGUGGGCGCGGGUGUGUAACCAUUUUCUCAGCCAAAAUUUUGUCUGAAUGCCAGUCACCCGACACACUGAUUACUGCCAAAUUCCAUUCUCAACAGGAAACUUUCUGUGUUGCUGGUACAAAUGGCACAAAUCCCAUUCUUAUAGUGAUCCAAAUUCUAUUUUUCCGGUGAGAAUAUAGGCUACACCCAUUUUAUUGACCCCUUCAUGCACGAGCUUCAUUACUAAUACGUAUAUACAACGGAGCUUCCUUCUGUCGUAUUGCGCGUAUCAUAUUUCAUUUAUCAACUUUUCCCUAUACAAAUCACCCCAAAAUUUGAUUUUUUUCGCUUACGAUUGCUCUACGAUUAUAUUUAUUUAUUUAGCUUUGCCAACUAGGGCAGGGUCACCACAACAGCAUAUGCCAAUUACUGUGGGCCCUUUUUACCUAACCCAACCUGUCAACGUUCCCUGUGGGAGGAAACCGGAGUACCCGGGGAAAACCCACGGCUUUCGGCAGAGCGUUGACUUUUUACUCUUUUCACAUGGGGACUGGGUUCGAGUCGCACUGAGAAGGUACUUAGUGAGACUCGAACUGCAGCCUCAGAGGUGAAAGGCAAGUGCGCUAACCACUUGGCCACCGAAGCCCCACAACUGGUGUUCAGUUACCGUCGGUAUAGGAAAGAAUAAGCCUUUAGACGUCUUUUGAAUGUACUUUUAAUUUAAUUUAAUUUAUUAACUUUGCCAGAUUCAAACAAUUAACGUUAACAUAAAAACUGGCAGGGCAAUCGCAACAGCUUGCGCCAAUUACUGCGAUCCCUAAAUGUUAGACAAAUACACUAUAUACGUACAUAGAAAAAUCAAUUAUUAACGAACUAUAUCAGAUUCAACUUUUCACAUUGCGACCCGCAUGACCACUUCUAGUUUCGGAAGCUGACUGAAUCAGAAGACGUUUAACCCUCACAAUCCUAAACCUUCAGCAAAACCCUGGAUAGGCCCAUAGAUACCAAUGCGAAAAGCUACUUCUGAAAACUAUUAAAAUCUAAAAACAACACGUUAUCGGCCUUGUAAGGUCGCGAGCUUGAUUGCAUUUUAAGCAAACCGUUUUCCAUGUUCGUGGAUCGUCAACGUCAUAACAUUUAUCUAAUGCUGUUUUAUAAUAGAUAUACAACUUAUUUUUAAACUCCUUUAAGGUUGCCAUGCCAUUAAUAGUAACUAAAUCCCUUGGCAGUGUGUUCCAGACUCUAGUAGUCCUUAUUAGAUAGGAUUUUUGAUAGGUAGAUGUUUUACAUGCUGAAGUCUGAAAUUGUAGGCAGUCGGGAUUUGUAGAACGGGUACGUUGACUUGAAUCUUGAGGGUAUGGUAGUAUGUCGCUGCUUAGGUUAAUAAUGUCAUGAUGUGAUUUGAAAAGGAACAAUAUGUCUAGGUACUCAUGCCAGUAACACAAAGGUAGUAGAUUCAAUGUUGCGAGACGAUGGUUAUAGCUGAUGUCACAGAAGAAAGGUAGGUUCAAUAUGUAUUUUGACGCACGUCUUUGAACGCGUUCUGUACGCUUAAUGAGGUCAACAGUUUGUGGAGCCCAGACUUGGGACGCGUAUGCGAGGUGGGAACGAACGAGGGUAAGAUAUAGAGUCCGACGAACAGAGAUGGUCUUGACUUUGAUCGUGGACCGUCGAAUAUACCCGAGGGAUUUGUUGGCUUGGGUGCACUGGUGGAGGACUUGUUUGGACCAUGUGAGGGUGGAGGAGGUCCAGACGCCAAGGUCACGUUCGCAAUCUGUGGUUUUCAGAGCGGAAUCGUGCAAUUUGUAUGUAUGGUCGAUUUUGUUGCGUUUUCUAGUAAUUCGAAGUGUCUUACAUUUAUCUGUGUUGAGGAGAAGAUUAGCAUUGGCAGAGGAGGUUUGGAAGUUCGCAAGAUCAUUCUCCAUAGCGGAUGCAUCAGCCUUCGCGUUUAUCACCUUGUAAAUCUUUGUAUCGUCAGCAAACGUCGCGAUCUUCGAGUGGUUGAUGGAGUUGGGGAGAUUAUUCUGAUAUAAUAGGAAUAGCAGAGGUCCAAGGAUUGAGCCUUGUGGAACUCCGGAGGUUACUGGUAGUGCUGAUGAUGUUGCACCAAGUACUGUAGUCUGCUGCCGACGGUCCUUGAGGUAAGAUCUAAACCACUUUAGAAUAUUUCCACCGAAUCCAAAAUCACGAAGUCGUUUCAACAGUUGCAUGUGGCUUACUCGAUCAAACGCCUUGGACAUAUCCAAGUAGAUCACAUCAACUUGUUUCCCAAGAUCCAGCUCACGACCAAUAUACUCAAAGACUUCAAUGAGCUGUGUAACACAGGACUUCCGAGGAACAAAGCCAUGUUGACCGUUGUUAACCUGUUCGAAAACGUGGUCUUUGAUCUUAUUGAACACGCAUCUUUCCAAUGCUUUCGAGAUAAGCGAAAGAAGCGAAAUCGGUCGAUAGUUUUCUACGUGCUCUUUGUUGUCUUUUUUGUGGACGGGAACAACAUUUGCUAGUUUCCAGUCGCGUGGUAACACACCAGUGUUCAGAGAUUUAUUAAACAAGACAGUUAGUGAUGGAGCAAUUUGGCGAGCUGUUUCUUUUAAUAAUCGUGCAGGAAUCCCAUCUGGACCUUGAGCUUUAUUAAUGUCGAGAUUAUGCAAUACGGAGAAAACGUCGGCUUCCGAAAGGGUAAUGUCCUCGAUGAUAGUAUUGUUAGACUGAUAUGGAAGAGCUUCAGGGCUGCAGUUUUCGAUAUUUGGAUCAGUGGUAAAUAUAGAUGUGAAGUAGUUGUUGAAGAGGGUAGCAAUAUCUGCUGGAUUUCCCGCGAAUGCUCUUUUGGUUUCAUUUACUUUCACCGAGAGCUUUUGAGGAAUGUUCCGGGUCUUAUUAUUGAGCUUGAACAGGGACCAGAAGCGUUUGGGAUUAAGCCCACGGCUGGAACAAAUAGAGUCGAAAUAUUUGGAGCGACUGUUACGUAACAUGCGCUUGAUGGAACUACGAAGGGUUUUGAACUUUUCAACGAGAUAUUCAGUUGGUGUAUGGGAUUUCUUAAUUCUGAGGCGGAGAGAGUUUUUCUUCUUGAUGUUGUGUAGAAUUGUAGAAUUCAUCCACGGAACAUAGUUUCGACCCUUUACUCUCGUAAAUGGUAUAUGUUGGGAUACUGCUUCUAGGAACGCCUUCUUCCAUUGUUGCCAGUCGUGGUUGAUAUUGUCGUCAGUUGUAAUCAGGGAAUCCAGAUUUAGACAUUCAAGGGAAGUUCGUAAGCCAGCAAAAUCACCUUGACGGUAAUUAUAGACAGUUCUGCGUAUCUUUGGCAGUUGAUUAUGACACAAUGAAAGUUCAAACACAAUAAUGUUGUGAUCAGUGAAAAGUUCUGCUUGAGUUGGAGACAAAAUUUCACAUAUUUUGACUUUGUUGGGAAUAUUGGUAAGAACGAGAUCUAACGUGUUGUUACCUCUAGUAGGCGCGGUGUUUAGUUGUUCCAAGAAAUGGUCAUGGAGCAGUUCUACGAAGGUAUUUUCGUUACCACCUGAUGUUUUCUCUGGCGAAUCCCAUGAUACAUGUGGCAUAUUGAAAUCUCCUGCAAGCACAAUGUUUGAGUGUCCCAAACAAACAUCACCCAUAAAGUUAUUGAACUUGUCCAACCAACUAUGAUCUGAGUUUGGUGGACGAUAACAAGAACAAAUUAAUAAACUUGCGUUUGAAGUGGUUGUUAUUUCAGCCACGGCGAUCUCCAAAUCAUGACCAUGUUGAAUUUCCCGCACUGAUUUGAAUGACGAAAUCUUUAUCGCUAACAGUACUCCACCACCACGAGAUUCGCGAUCCUUUCUGAAUAUGUCGUAUCCCGAAUGCAGAAUUUCCGAGUUUUUAAUAUCCUCGUUAAGCCACGUUUCGUUGACACAAACAAUGUCGGGAUCUUCGGAAUAGACCAAGUUCUGGAAGCGUUCAAUGUUGGUAUCUGUUAAGUUGUUUCCGAUGUUGGUUUUAUGUAAACUCAUCAGACUUCGAGCAUUGAGUGCAAGACAUUUUAUGAACCGAUUUACACGAUCCGUGUGUUUGUAAGGUCCAGGAUUCGUUGCGAUAUCUCCGGCAAGCAAGAGUAAUAUAGACGCAUGUGAGAUCUUACGGUUAAUUUGUAAGUUUAAGCCGUAGCGAUGCUGGUUAUUGCAUGGUAAGUUAUAUUUUCUGAAAACAACAUCACGGGUGGAUACCCAAACAUAGCAUAGUUUUUCAGGCAGAGAAACAAGUUCGGGGCAGAUUAAAAUGUUUUCUGGUGUAAUUUGGGUGUUAUUAGCAUUUCGAUUAACUUUCACACACAGUUUCAAAAUUGAAAAAAGAAGUAAUAUAUUAGUUAUGAAGCGUCCAAUCUUUGCUAGAUUUUUCGUCCCAUCUGAAGUGAAUUUUGGAACCAUUUCUGAAUUCAAAGCUUACACUCGCGUAAUUUAUUCCGAUUGUUUUGAUUUAUUCAAUUUGAUGACGUACGGAUUUAAUUGCGUGUUUGCGAUGAUGACGAUGAUGUGCGUAAGCAAACGUUCAACUCGCGUAAAAUGCUAAGACAAAAAUCCCCCGACUUUCGAUGCAAAAACCACUCCAAACGACGCUUUCUUGAAUCAAAAUCUCCAAAAAUUCACAAAUCCAAGUUCCUGAUACUCUUAGACGACUUUAUUAUAAGUUUUUUCUCCAAAGCAAUGUUUUUGGACUUGCUAAAAAGCAAAUUCUUAAGGAGCUCCCUCGCGCGCGCUCGCACGCGCGAGGAUCGAUGACGUUUAUGGGGAAAUCAUUCUUAAUUCGAAUGUCACUUUUCAUUUGAUUAUGGGCUAUUUGUUAGAAUUUGUAUAGGAAAUUCGCCUCGCACGUGGUAUCUGUUGAAGAAAACUGGCACUAGGACCUUCUGCGCAGGUCUUUGACUCCAGCUACCGCCCGAUGUCGAAGUCUUCGUGAAAUUUGGCGCAUUUUGAUAGCAAAUUCAUGUUUAUUCAUGGCGAUUUAGGAAUGUCAAAAUGAGCGCAAAGAUUUGGGUUUUGCUUGUGUUUACAACCUCAUUAAUAAUUCACUUGCUCGGCUGCAGGAGAUGGCGAAGGGACGUCUCAGACUCGAUCUCGACUCUACCUUAUAUACCUUAUAUGUCUUACAUUGUACACCAGAUAAGUGUUGAACAAUAUUGUAAUGAUUUUACGUUUAGUUAUAGUAUACUGCCUCAUUAUAAUUGAAGUUUACGCUUGGGAAAUGCUGCUUAGUAAUAUACGUUAUUCUGAUUAAUACCGUAUAAUAUCAACAUACAAACGGAAAAAGGAUCAAAGUUAUGAUUCGUGCUUGGCCAUUGUUGUCAAUCGUAUAAUUCAUAAAAUGCGUUGCCUUGUUUACUCGAUACAUCGUGCUCGAUUUAUAAGCCAAACGGUUUGGUGCUCGAAGACGAAGCGUGCGCUUUGGUCUCUACGCCAUAUAAUAAUAACAAUAAUAAACUUUAUUUAAUUUAAAGAAGGUAUUUAUAAUACAAAACCAGUUUAGCACAGCUAAUCUUUAAUAUAAUGGGCCUCAAUACUGGGCUUGAAAAUGACGCACGUCUGUAAUUUCACAUUAAGUGGACUGGACACUAGUUUGAGCAAAUGUUCAUUCAAUUAUGCACCUGGGGCAAAAGUUUGAUAUCAUUAUUCAGUGUAAUGAAUGUUUUCUUCGCUCAAACGAUCCCUUUAAUGGUGAAAAAAAUAUGUUUGAUCUAUAUUAUGUGUGUUUACUAAGCAUGAUCAUUUUUAUGAAAAAUGUUGAGCAUGCAAUUCUGCUCCGCGCAUCCUAUAGUGCUUUUAAAUGACCGAUUACAUCAAGUACUACCAUUGCUUAUAUUACAUACUCUGCCUAGACAAUUUAUCCUUACAACAUUGUGACGUACAUUACUUUCUUAGCUAUGUUUAUCCAAAUCAACCCUGCAUGUUCCACGAUUUUCGGCGGCACAGCGUUGACCCUUUUCACGAAAUACAGCGAAGUCAAUAGUCAUAAUAACUAACAGUAUAAUCUAGGGUAAUAAUAUUAUAAUUACUUCACACUGCAUGUUUGCUGUUGUGGACAUUAUGUUGAAAAUAAAUUUUUUUCCCUCGUGUCCUUCCGUUUCAGGAACCUCUUUAUGAAGCUGGAGAUAGUAUUCAAAUACAUUAUAACGAUUAUAUAAGGAAUUAACCUGUACUUAUUUCGCAAACAUUUUUGGAUUUUGAUGAUUUUACUGAAUUUUACGAAGAUAUGUCUGAACCUGCGUAGUUGCUAGCUUAACUAAAAUCAUAUAGCGAUAUCGUCAUGGUUAAAUCUGGACCUGCCUAUAAAGAUUAAGUUAUCUCAUCUCGUAGUAAAAAGCAAGAGACAAUCUUCCGUUUCAAGAAAAUUCUUUCACUUUGAUAGUCUUCAUUGUUAUGCAAAAAAAUAUCAAACCAUGACAAAACACAUUUCCUUGUCAGUUGUGAGGCACUUUCCGGUAGCGAGAGCAACUCGAAGAAAAUAUUAAUUUGGGGAAAUUAACCUCUCAAAGAAAAUUAAUUUGGUAAGUUGCAUGCCACUGACUAUCAAACUAAUUGAUGCAGUAUACUGUUUGAUUCCUAUACAGUUUUAUUUGAUUCCUUUCAACGGGCUUUAAGUUGUUCUGUUUUACAUAUAAGCGCGCGGUUUGAACGGAUAGAAACUAAUAACAUAAAUGAUCUAUUCUCGACUGGUGGGUCAGCGCGCUCUUAUAAAAAUUUGCUAUAUCUUAAGCUCGAAUAGAAGUAUGGACUUUCUGCAACAGCAAAAAUCAUUUGAAGUGGAAAAGAAAGGGAAUAUGGGGCGAGCCAAGAUGUCUUUAUUUAUAUUUGUCAUUUGCCCAAAAAAGAACCAUAUAUAAAUGCAUGUACUGUAUAGGAGUAUACUUAAUCUAUGAACCAGUAAAGCCGCGUCUUAAAAUCUAAAAUGGAUAUGAUAACAAGAAUUUUUCAGAAUUCAAAUGACUCUGACAAAUCUAACCACUCACCAUAAUGGAUUGUCUCGAAAAUAAAUUACCGAGAUUACAUUGACUUCUCCGACUUCAGUGAAGGACGGCAAGAAUGACGAAGAAAUUUUUAUGUCACAAUUAUUAAAAAUCGUGCACCUGGGCUUGCACUCUGUCACUGUGCAGGACUACAUGUGUUUACUGAGGGACAUGAAAUGGGAGCUGGUGUUCAAUCCCAUUUUUUCAGCCAAAAUAUCGUCUGAAUGCUAGUCACUCGACCCAAUCAUUUGUCAAAUUCCAUUCUGAAUAGCAACAUUGCUCUUACAAAUGGUACAAAUCCCAUUCUUAGUGAUCCAAUUGUAUUUUCCCAGUGAGAAUAUAUGCUACGUACGUAUAUACCCAUUUUAUUGACCUCUUCAUGCACGAGUCUCAUUACUGAUACCACAUACUGGCCACGGAGCUGUCUUCUUAGUAUUAUUGUAGCCAUGUGUGUAUAGUGAAUGUUUUCUUCAGUCGUUUUCUCGAGGUCACAACACAAGUGUUACGAAAGUAUAUCUAAAUAGAUAAAAAUAGUUCAAUUUGCGCCCCAGGUAAUUAUAGAUACUAGUUACGUCAAAUGGAGAGAUAAUGAGCAUUUUUGCUGUAAAACGCAGAUAAAGUAUAUAUCAUUUCGGACGUGCGUAAAAGUGUCAAUUAUCUGUCCAUUAGGCAAGAUAAAUAAUUUGUCAAAGUUGGACGAUAACCUUGCAUGGUGGGCUGUUGUGUUUACAUAAUUCAAAGUCCAAGGCUGGUUCUUCUCUGACAUGAAAAUGUGCAUGCUUAGGGCCUUUCUGUCAAUCAUUUUUCAGUAUAUUUCGAGCGGUUGAAUAAUGAUAACAUUACGUCAUCAAAAUCUUGGUUCUAUAAAAUUGUAAGUAAAUAUGGGUUAAGUAGUUAAAGUAAGGUUCACAUAGAUAUAAGUUGAAGUUUUUACUAUGUUAUUUUGAUAAGCAUUUUAAGUUGUGAACAUAUUUUAACAUUGAUCGAUUGAACAGCGAACCAACUCGACAAGUGCGACAACGCCUUAAAUAAACAGAAUUUGAGAGCUGGAACGAGCUAGCAACGCCAACCUACACUUUUAAACCUCAACGUUAAUUGGCUGGAUACAAAUCACACCACUUGCUACAUCACGUGUACAAAGAUCCCCUCAACCGUUAGUAUAAAAGUGCGUGCACAACCGAAAUUCUCAGUGGAUGAAUUCUCAGUGGAUGAAUUUUCCGUGGAUGAAUUCUCAGUGGAUGAAUUCUCAGUGGAUGAAUUCUCAGUGAAUGACCUCUCAGUGGAAUUUCCUAGUGGACGUACGCUGAAUCAAGCUUAAAUGAUGAAAAAGCUACUGAAGCUCAGACGAAACUAGACAACGACAAAGAAAAAAACGAACAGUGAACAAACGAAAGAGGCUGAAGAAAGAAGAUAACUUUGAAAAGGAACGAUUUCAAUAUUAACAUUAGUAACAAUAAUUACAAAAGUUGUAUAACGAUUCACUGCCUAAAUAAAGCCUCGUAACACAAGGACUAAGGCAUACGAAAAAACUAUCGAAUUUUUCCAUGAUGUUUUACAGAGAAACGUCACAGCUGCAACCCCCCACCCCCACCCACAAACAAUCAUAUGACGUUUCUCGACAAAAUCCAGCCUCGUACCCAGGCGCAAUUAACUAAAAAUAGGCAUACUACAGAUUUUUUAUAUAGAUCAGUGGCUAAGAUGAGCGAGCGCGCGGGGGUCAAGCACCCCCGCGCGCUCGAGCCACUGAUCUAUAUAAUAACACUGUAGUGUGCCCAUUCUUAGCGCCUGGGUACGAGGCUGGACAAAAUCGAUAUGUGAGGCGGCCUUAUAUAAACACGACAAAUAAAUAAUUGUAUUAAUCGUUCUUCAUUUUUCAUAAACAUGUUACGUGUAUUUUUGGGCUUUAUUUUCUCUAGCAAAUUCACCGUAGCAGAAGAAGGUUCACCGACUAUGUCUUUUAUCAGUUUUGUGUUGUUUGGCUUCGUGUUGGUUCUCACAGAGCAUUUUGUUGCCUGUAACGUUGUUAGUAAAACAGUGUCGGAUGAAGUAGAGAAGAGAAAUGUUAACGUUGGUAUCCCGGUA